Molecule: ribosomal RNA, 496 nt
Filed under: uncultured bacterium
Lineage: Bacteria
Description: partial 16S ribosomal RNA
Rfam family: Bacterial small subunit ribosomal RNA
Source: RNAcentral
GAUGAACGCUGGCGGCGUGCCUAAUACAUGCCAGUCGAGCGGACGGACGAGAAGCUUGCUUCUCUGAUGUUAGCGGCGGACGGGUGAGUAACACGUGGAUAACCUACCUAUAAGACUGGGAUAACUUCGGGAAACCGUAGCUAAUACCGGAUAAUAUUUUGAACCGCAUGGUUCAAAAGUGAAAGACGGUCUUGCUGUCACUUAUAGAUGGAUCCGCGCUGCAUUAGCUAGUUGGUAAGGUAACGGCUUACCAAGGCAACGAUGCAUAGCCGACCUGAGAGGGUGAGCGGCCACCCGAGAAAUGAGACACGGUCCGGACUCCGACGGGGGGAACAAGUGGGGAAUCUUCCGGAAGGGGCGAAAGCCGAAAGGAGCAACGCUGGGGGAGGAAUGAAGGUCUUCGGAUCGGAAAACUCUUUUAUUAGGGAAAAAAAUAUGGGUAAGUAACUGUACCAAUCUGGACGGUACCUAAUCAAAAAGCCACGGCAAAUUCCGU